AUGUCCUUAAAACCAGAUGAGGCACUACAAGAAGUCCUUCACCCAGUGCCACACAGUUACUCCACCUAUUCACCCAAGAUUAGUAAGCCAGCAAGAAACAAAGGUGUUGAGAGAUGUCACUGGCCUAGGAUCAAGCCCAAUCACAGCUGGGCAGAGAGGUCUCCAAAGCUCAGGAGCAGACCCUGGUCCCCCAUAAGGAUCCUGGAACCUCCCACAGCAAUGAAUCUUCAUCCCAAUGACUGCUCCCAGAUGGUGAGAAAUCUGAGACAGAAGAAGAAAUUCAUCAUUCUUAUCAUUGUUCUUAUCAUUUCUUUAUUGUAUUCAUUGCUUUGCUAA
This 336-nucleotide long non-coding RNA is filed under the name Anas platyrhynchos platyrhynchos (common mallard). Its description in RNAcentral is "lncRNA (ENSAPLG00000019945.1)". The record is from RNAcentral. Lineage: Eukaryota; Metazoa; Chordata; Aves; Anseriformes; Anatidae.